GCUGCAGCCUAGCGAACUCCGCGCAAGGGCAUCGGAUCCGCUACACUGAGAGGCCGAGGACAGGCGUCCCAAGCACGGCUCCCUUGCCCCUCCAGCGGACUCCAGGUGGGCUUAGAAGAAGCAGAUGCCCUGAUUCCAGCCAUGGAGACCUGAGGUUGCCUCUGCAAUGCCUGGAAUUUUGGCAGCCAUCUUGGGAUCAUGAGAAAAGUCAGCCUGAAGGAAACGUGCUGAGAAGGACAAAGGAGAAAGGUGGGAGGUUCUGGGACCUGUGGCUUCUCCUAUCAUCCUACUGGGGAGGGUGAUAAAGUCUCUUAGCUAAGCCAUGUUAAUUUGGGUUUUCGGCUGCUUGCAGCCAAAAAUUUAGCCCAACUGACAUGCAGACGGAGGAUGACGAGCCAAUACCCAGCCUCUCUGUCUGCAACACUCCUUGUCCUCCUGCAACUCACCUCUUUUCACUUCUCCUCUGAAAAGCCUGGCGUUUUCUUCUAUCCUACUUUCUGCAGGCGAAGGGCCUGAAAGUGGCUGUGGGAAGCUUCUUUGGUCUAUUCCCUCUCCU
Molecule: long non-coding RNA, 556 nt
Filed under: Callithrix jacchus (white-tufted-ear marmoset)
Lineage: Eukaryota; Metazoa; Chordata; Mammalia; Primates; Cebidae
Description: lncRNA (ENSCJAG00000084372.1)
Source: RNAcentral